Molecule: long non-coding RNA, 239 nt
Organism: Hippopotamus amphibius kiboko
Lineage: Eukaryota; Metazoa; Chordata; Mammalia; Artiodactyla; Hippopotamidae
Exons: 3
Source: RefSeq, a predicted model, not a curated record
GUCCAGAGCCUGGGGUCAGCAGCUUGCCAACACGGGGUCACCAAGUGCAUCUGCACGGCUUCCCUUGAGCUCCUGGAGGUCAUCUCAGAAGCUGGCACUGAGCGGGAACUCAGUAACUCAUGGGUGAAUAAAAAGAAGGGGAAAAGACACAUCAUAUCUGACCUGAUCCACUGUGCUCACUGUAAAUGAAAUUUACGGACACUACGCCUACCUUCAUUUGGCUGUGAAAAGAAACCACG